This 230-nucleotide unclassified non-coding RNA is filed under the name Bulleribasidiaceae sp. Its description in RNAcentral is "partial contains 5.8S ribosomal RNA, internal transcribed spacer 2, and large subunit ribosomal RNA". The stretch from base 1 to 50 matches the Rfam family "5.8S ribosomal RNA", at positions 105 to 154 of the family's 154-position model. Lineage: Eukaryota; Fungi; Basidiomycota; Tremellomycetes; Tremellales; Bulleribasidiaceae. The record is from RNAcentral.
CGCAACUUGCGCCCUCUGGUAUUCCGGAGGGCAUGCCUGUUUGAGUGUCAUGUAGACUCAUCUACUCAGAUUUCUGUCUGAGCAAGAUGGAUUUGGAGGCUUGCCUUUGUCUGGCUCCUCUUAAAAGCAUUGUGCAGACGUAAUAAGUUUCGUCGUAACGCGCACUCGCCCUUCUGGGCAACUACUUGUACUCUGACCUCAAAUCAGGUAGGGCUACCCGCUGAACUUAA